This 260-nucleotide unclassified non-coding RNA is filed under the name Kockovaella sp. Its description in RNAcentral is "partial contains 5.8S ribosomal RNA, internal transcribed spacer 2, and large subunit ribosomal RNA". The record is from RNAcentral. Lineage: Eukaryota; Fungi; Basidiomycota; Tremellomycetes; Tremellales; Cuniculitremaceae.
CGCACCUUGCGCCUCUUGGUAUUCCGAGAGGCAUGCCUGUUUGAGUGUCAUGAAACAUCAAUCCCCGAGGGUUUUUCGCCCUUGGUGGACUUGGAACUGGGCGUCUGCCUCCCAAGGCUCGCCUCAAAUGACUUAGUGGGAACUUCUUGACCUACGCCUGACGUGAUAAGUUUCGUCUCGGCUGGUCUUGAGGCCUGCUCAUAACAACCCAUACUUUUACUAUUGACCUCAAAUCAGGUAGGGCUACCCGCUGAACUUAA